Molecule: ribosomal RNA, 248 nt
Filed under: uncultured bacterium
Lineage: Bacteria
Description: partial 16S ribosomal RNA
Rfam family: Bacterial small subunit ribosomal RNA
Source: RNAcentral
AUACGUAUGGAGCAAGCGUUAUCCGGAUUUACUGGGUGUAAAGGGAGCGUAGACGGACUGGCAAGUCUGGUGUCGAAAGGCUGGGGCUCAACCCCGGGACUGCAUUGGAAACUGCCUGUCUUGAGUGCCGGAGGGGUAAGCGGAAUUCCUAGUGUAGCGGUGAAAUGCGUAGAUAUUAGGAGGAACACCAGUGGCGAAGGCGGCUUACUGGACGGUAACUGACGUUGAGGCUCGAAAGCGUGGGGAGC